GGUUGAUCCUGCCAGUAUUAUAUGCUGAUGUUAAAGAUUAAGCCAUGCAUGUGUAAGUAAAAAGACCAAGAAGGAUGAAACUGCGGACGGCUCAUUACAACAGUUAUAGUUUAUUUGGUUAAAGUGAUAAGGAUAACUCUGUUAAUUGUAGAGCUAAUACUUGAGACCAUCAGUGUGACAUUGCGCACUGAGCGACCACACUUGAUGUGGGAGCACACAUAUUCCUUUUCUGAAUAAGGGAAUAAAGACAAUUGUAGAAAUCAGGGAUUUUAAGAAGUAACCAAUGAGAAUA
This 292-nucleotide ribosomal RNA is filed under the name uncultured eukaryote. RNAcentral's name for it is "partial 18S ribosomal RNA". It matches the Rfam family "Eukaryotic small subunit ribosomal RNA", at positions 6 to 306 of the family's 1831-position model. The record is from RNAcentral.